AGAGUUUGAUCCUGGCUCAGGAUGAACGCUGGCGGCGUGCCUAAUACAUGCAAGUCGAGCGAACGGACGAGAAGCUUGCUUCUCUGAUGUUAGCGGCGGACGGGUGAGUAACACGUGGAUAACCUACCUAUAAGACUGGGAUAACUUCGGGAAACCGGAGCUAAUACCGGAUAAUAUUUUGAACCGCAUGGUUCAAAAGUGAAAGACGGUCUUGCUGUCACUUAUAGAUGGAUCCGCGCUGCAUUAGCUAGUUGGUAAGGUAACGGCUUACCAAGGCAACGAUGCAUAGCCGACCUGAGAGGGUGAUCGGCCACACUGGAACUGAGACACGGUCCAGACUCCUACGGGAGGCAGCAGUAGGGAAUCUUCCGCAAUGGGCGAAAGCCUGACGGAGCAACGCCGCGUGAGUGAUGAAGGUCUUCGGAUCGUAAAACUCUGUUAUUAGGGAAGAACAUAUGUGUAAGUAACUGUGCACAUCUUGACGGUACCUAAUCAGAAAGCCACGGCUAACUACGUGCCAGCAGCCGCGGUAAUACGUAGGUGGCAAGCGUUAUCCGGAAUUAUUGGGCGUAAAGCGCGCGUAGGCGGUUUUUUAAGUCUGAUGUGAAAGCCCACGGCUCAACCGUGGAGGGUCAUUGGAAACUGGAAAACUUGAGUGCAGAAGAGGAAAGUGGAAUUCCAUGUGUAGCGGUGAAAUGCGCAGAGAUAUGGAGGAACACCAGUGGCGAAGGCGACUUUCUGGUCUGUAACUGACGCUGAUGUGCGAAAGCGUGGGGAUCAAACAGGAUUAGAUACCCUGGUAGUCCACGCCGUAAACGAUGAGUGCUAAGUGUUAGGGGGUUUCCGCCCCUUAGUGCUGCAGCUAACGCAUUAAGCACUCCGCCUGGGGAGUACGACCGCAAGGUUGAAACUCAAAGGAAUUGACGGGGACCCGCACAAGCGGUGGAGCAUGUGGUUUAAUUCGAAGCAACGCGAAGAACCUUACCAAAUCUUGACAUCCUUUGACAACUCUAGAGAUAGAGCCUUCCCCUUCGGGGGACAAAGUGACAGGUGGUGCAUGGUUGUCGUCAGCUCGUGUCGUGAGAUGUUGGGUUAAGUCCCGCAACGAGCGCAACCCUUAAGCUUAGUUGCCAUCAUUAAGUUGGGCACUCUAAGAUGACUGCCGGUGACAAACCGGAGGAAGGUGGGGAUGACGUCAAAUCAUCAUGCCCCUUAUGAUUUGGGCUACACACGUGCUACAAUGGACAAUACAAAGGGCAGCGAAACCGCGAGGUCAAGCAAAUCCCAUAAAGUUGUUCUCAGUUCGGAUUGUAGUCUGCAACUCGACUACAUGAAGCUGGAAUCGCUAGUAAUCGUAGAUCAGCAUGCUACGGUGAAUACGUUCCCGGGUCUUGUACACACCGCCCGUCACACCACGAGAGUUUGUAACACCCGAAGCCGGUGGAGUAACCUUUUAGGAGCUAGCCGUCGAAGGUGGGACAAAUGAUUGGGGUGAAGUCGUAACAAGGUAGCCGUAUCGGAAGGUGCGGCUGGAUCACCU
This 1540-nucleotide ribosomal RNA is filed under the name Staphylococcus aureus M1311. RNAcentral's name for it is "16S ribosomal RNA". It matches the Rfam family "Bacterial small subunit ribosomal RNA". Lineage: Bacteria; Bacillati; Bacillota; Bacilli; Caryophanales; Staphylococcaceae. RNAcentral also lists the same sequence under 1 other name. The record is from RNAcentral.